RNAcentral lists this ribosomal RNA (466 nucleotides) under uncultured bacterium. RNAcentral's name for it is "partial 16S ribosomal RNA". It matches the Rfam family "Bacterial small subunit ribosomal RNA", at positions 28 to 507 of the family's 1533-position model. The record is from RNAcentral.
GACGAACGCUGGCGGCGUGCUUAACACAUGCAAGUCGAACGGAAAGGCCCUGCUUGCAGGGUACUCGAGUGGCGAACGGGUGAGUAACACGUGGGUGAUCUGCCCUGCACUUCGGGAUAAGCUUGGGAAACUGGGUCUAAUACCGGAUAGGACCGCACUUUAUUGUGUGUGGUGGAAAGUUUUUUCGGUGUAGGAUGAGCUCGCGGCCUAUCAGCUUGUUGGUGGGGUAAUGGCCUACCAAGGCGGCGACGGGUAGCCGGCCUGAGAGGGUGUACGGCCACAUUGGGACUGAGAUACGGCCCAGACUCCUACGGGAGGCAGCAGUGGGGAAUAUUGCACAAUGGGCGCAAGCCUGAUGCAGCGACGCCGCGUGGGGGAUGAAGGCCUUCGGGUUGUAAACUCCUUUCGCUAGGGACGAAGCUUUGUUGUGACGGUACCUAGAUAAGAAGCACCGGCUAACUACGUG